This 492-nucleotide ribosomal RNA is filed under the name Triticum aestivum (bread wheat). Its description in RNAcentral is "partial small subunit ribosomal RNA". The record is from RNAcentral. Lineage: Eukaryota; Viridiplantae; Streptophyta; Magnoliopsida; Poales; Poaceae.
AUGCAGAUUGCUCUGACGAUUCUCCAAGAAUCCAGAGACGGGGGUAGCAACCCAAAAAAAAGAGAAGUGGUUGCUCAGCAUGCUGAUCUUUUCAGGGCGGAUCACCGAAGGGGUGCUGCAUGCAGAUUGCUCUUGCGAUUCUCCGAGAAUCCAAAGAGUGUCAUGAUUGUGUUUACGGAAGAAAUCUCGUCUCGGAAAAUGUGUUUGUUCCUUUCCAGCCAUAUCUCCCAAGUGAUCAUGAUCAUGAGGGAUUUGGCACCUUUAGCAUUGUCUGCUGUCGUUGAGCUUGAGAUCGCUUCCCAAAACCCUAGUGAAUUUUUAACCUCCGGCCAUGCUUGGGGGUUCAGCGCCCAACACCCCAGCCAGAGCGAGGCCCGCCUACAAAUUUCCUUUGCCCCUGGGCAUUGCCAGAAUAGGUGCAUGGAGGUCUCAAGAUUCCGGGUCCAGAGAGGGCAGAAGUAUUCAUUCGGCCAGCCACGACGUAGCAGCUGA